CCGUGAGAAAAACAUUUCUGGAAGGAAGGAGACCCGAGCACUGAGGACCGACACCAGGAAAUGGAGAUCUGACGUGGAGCAGAUCAAAAGGUAGGGAGAGUGGGGACGGACGGUUGCAACAAGACUCCUCCAUUCAGGAAUGAGCUAGAGUGAUGAUAUUACUACAUAUUCUUAUAUAGACCCUCCUUCAAUCUCAGAGAAAUCAUCCAUAUGCGACCAUUCCUUCAGUAUAAAGCCUGUUUUAAGAUGGCAGUGUUGCUUCACUGAGGAAAUAUUUAUUCUGCAGUGUGCUGGGACUCCUGGGAGGACCAAGAAGAUGGUUAAGAAUUGCAGCACUUGCAGCAACAGCAACAGCGGGCGGCAAUGACAGUGACUACUCUGUCCCAUGGAUCAAGAGAGUGAGCCCAUAGAGGAAGGAAAUCCCAAGACCGGAGAGCAGAAGGAAGCCAUUGAGGUUUGUGCUUCUGCAGAAUGUUGACAAUGAUGGCGAAGAUCAGAAUAACCGCUAUGGGGACAAGAACUCCCAUGAGUACCUGCCAGCCGGCCAUAGAGAGACCAAAGACCAGUAGAGGCAAACCGAAGAAGCAAAGGAUGAUGUAAAAGGCUGCAAACCAACGGUACUGGGCUGUUGUUUCACCAAGACCCUUUGCCAGUCGGAUGGGGAUACGUGUGAUGGGGAUUGGGUACCACAACAAUAUCCCGGAUAAGUUGAAGAAGAGGUGAACCAAUGCAAUCUAUAGCAACCUGUCCCUUGAGCAUCGAAUUCAGCAGCUUCACAAUACAAAUGAGGCAAGUGCACAGAAUGAGCAGAGAACCCGCCAGCAGAAUCAGACCCACCGCCAGGUCCGAAAGGCUCGUGUUCACGAAGAUGUGACUGCCUGUGUGAAUAGAGAACAACAUAAAAGAUCCUGGCCUGAGCAGAAGCACUGGUGCUGAUGGAGACCACGUUCAGAUCCAGACUCAGCUGUGCUGUUCUUCAGAGUGGCUCAGUUCGGCCUCUGUUGGGUCACAGGCAUUUAUAGCCCUCCGCAGAUCAUCCAGGAUUCCCCUGUUCCAAGGUUUACCACGGGACUGAUAACUCUCUGCGACAGGAAGUUUGUCUGUGUGUGUGUGUGUGUGUGUGUCUGCGUGUGUGCAUGUGUGUGUGUGUGCUGUGCAUGGUUCAAAGUGUCCGCUGUGGCAUCAGAUAAAGUGGAUUUUAAAAGGUAAAAAAUAUAUAUAAAAGUCCUUAUUAGUAGUUAUGAUGGUAAUACACAGUACGGCCUUUAUUACUGUAAGUUACAUAUAUACUGUAUUUCUGUUUUAGAUCAAAUACUGUUUAAUGUGGCUUUAUUAAAAUGUGUGUGUAUGU
This 1351-nucleotide unclassified non-coding RNA is filed under the name Danio rerio (zebrafish). RNAcentral describes it as "NaPi-2b1 antisense transcript isoform 2". The record is from RNAcentral. Lineage: Eukaryota; Metazoa; Chordata; Actinopteri; Cypriniformes; Danionidae.